RNAcentral lists this ribosomal RNA (1171 nucleotides) under uncultured Methanomassiliicoccales archaeon. RNAcentral's name for it is "bacterial SSU rRNA". It matches the Rfam family "Archaeal small subunit ribosomal RNA", at positions 140 to 1314 of the family's 1478-position model. The record is from RNAcentral. Lineage: Archaea; Methanobacteriati; Thermoplasmatota; Thermoplasmata; Methanomassiliicoccales.
CUGAGGAUAAUACCCUAUAGGUUACCGAUGCUGGAAUGCUCGGUAACUCAAAGUUCCGGCGCCUUAGGAUGGAUCUGCGGCCGAUUAGGUUGUUGUUGGGGUAACGGCCCAACAAGCCCGAAAUCGGUACGGGUUGUGGGAGCAAGAGCCCGGAGUUGGAUUCUGAGACACGAAUCCAGGCCCUACGGGGCGCAGCAGGCGCGAAAACUUUACAAUGCGGGCAACCGUGAUAAGGGAACCUCGAGUGCCUGUACAUGCAGGCUGUCUGGGUGUCUAAAACACACCCAAAGAAAGGGCCGGGCAAGACCGGUGCCAGCCGCCGCGGUAAUACCGGCGGCUCGAGUGGUGGCCACUUUUAUUGGGCUUAAAGCGUUCGUAGCUGGGUUGUUAAGUCUCUUGGGAAAUCCGGCGGCUUAACCGUCGGGCGUCUAAGAGAUACUGGCAAUCUUGGAACCGGGAGAGGUGAGGGGUACUUCGGGGGUAGGAGUGAAAUCCUGUAAUCCUCGAGGGACCACCUGUGGCGAAGGCGCCUCACCAGAACGGCUUCGACAGUGAGGGACGAAAGCUGGGGGAGCAAACCGGAUUAGAUACCCGGGUAGUCCCAGCCGUAAACGAUGUGCGUUAGGUGUAUCGACGACCACGAGUCGUCGAGGUGCCGAAGGGAAACCGUGAAACGUACCGCCUGGGAAGUACGGUCGCAAGGCUGAAACUUAAAGGAAUUGGCGGGGGAGCACCACAACAGGUGGAGCCUGCGGUUUAAUUGGACUCAACGCCGGGAAGCUCACCGGAUAGGACAGCGGAAUGAUUGCCGGGCUGAAGACUCUGCAUGACUAGCUGAGAGGAGGUGCAUGGCCGUCGUCAGUUCGUACUGUGAAGCAUCCUGUUAAGUCAGGCAACGAGCGAGACCCACGCCAACAGUUGCCAGCACGAUCCCCGGAUCGGUGGGGACACUGUUGGGACCGCCUCUGCUAAAGAGGAGGAAGGAAUGGGCAACGGUAGGUCAGCAUGCCCCGAAUUAUCCGGGCUACACGCGGGCUACAAUGGGCAGGACAAUGGGUAUCGACACCGAAAGGUGAAGGCAAUCUCCUAAACCUGUCCGUAGUUCGGAUUGUGGGCUGUAACUCGCCCACAUGAAGCUGGAAUCUGUAGUAAUCGCGUCAAAAUGCACGAC